This is a long non-coding RNA of Schistocerca gregaria, 2547 nucleotides long. RefSeq lists it as uncharacterized. The record is from RefSeq and is a predicted model, not a curated record. NCBI's taxonomy places the organism in Eukaryota, Metazoa, Arthropoda, Insecta, Orthoptera, Acrididae. The transcript is spliced from 3 exons.
CAUGGCGUAGAAAGUCGUUUACACAGCUGAAGCAAAGAUGAGUCGCUUACCUCAGGCGAGGAAAGGAGCGCAGUUCUGUUCUUGCCGUAUCGGGUGUAGUUGCUGAUUGAGUGUUUGAUAAUCGAAUUAAGCAUUUGUAAUGGCUGACAGCAAUGACUGUCCCUACUAUAAUUUACCAGAAUGGCUGGAGAACUUUGUGCGAAUGUUGACAAAACAGAAGAAUCACAGAAAGAAUAAAGUUUAGAAAUAAUUCAAAAGCUGAACAACAUGGAUCAAAAGCUGGAUCAAACCUUGAAUGAACUGGCAGAUUUGAAAGAAAUUUUUAAAAAUUGCCAUACAAGAAACUGCUAUGAAAAGCAGUGGCAGUACAGAAACAAAUAAUGUGGAAGAGAUAGGAAUCACAGUCAGCCCUGACGAACAAUGUUCAGAGACAAAGAACUGCGUUCUAAACUCGGAGAAGAAAUGCUAUCCAAUAAGGAGAGCAUGAAGGCAAAACAACAAAGGUGCUCCGUAUGCAUAUGAGUGAAUAGAGUGCAUAUGAAUUUCCAGAAGUUAUUUUUCAGUUGAUAAAUUCAAAGUUGUUGAAAAAUCAUACAUAUUUAUAUAGGGUUGCCAUAAUCUCGGAAUCCAAAACCAGGACAAAACUUACGGUCACCGUAGCUGAUCGAAGGAAAUAAGAGGAAUAAGGAGUCUUGAUGCCCAUAAGCUAAGGGAAAUGUGCAUUUAAUUAAUGAUCCAGAGUUUAGGAAGGACUGCUUCAUUAAGAAAGCAUUUAUUACAAAAAAUAAGGAUUUGCAUAACAUUAUUCAGUACACGAAGUUCUAUUGCCAUCAUUUGAGCUUUUCUUAUACCAAUCGUAUUUCUCAGAACCUUGAAUAGAUGAAAGGAACUUAAUCUGGUUCUCAAUCAGUUUAUGAAAUUCACUGCAACUUACAUUUUUCAUAUUGUAUUGUAUUUACAUCAUUGCAUUAACCGAUUUUAUUGUUAACCUAUUCCUUUCUUCCGUCCACUGAGAAUUUGAAGGAAAAUGACUCUCUCUACAUUGGCGUUAUGACUGGGAAUGGAGAAAUAAAAUUACACAAUUUUCAGCAACUCUGAAUACUGCUCACGAGAAAUACAAAGUUAGUAUUUGUGUUAUCUCCACCAAAAGCAGAUACCUUAUCACUAAGCCCAUUUUGUAAAAUGGCACUGUAUACACACUCGGUUAUUGUACCAGAAUCCUCACUGUCACAUUCAUUUAAAUUUAACAAUCUACUUUGGACACCUUCGUCAUAAUCAAAACACUGCCCAAGAACAGGAAAUAUUUUCAAAUACUAGGGGUUGCUAGCAUCAGUGCUAAUACUAAUAUAAUUGGCCUUCGAUAGACCGUUCCUUGUUCUGUCUUCAAUGAACGGUGAUAUCACUUUAUUAACAAUGGCUUCUAUUUUAGUUUUGCCGCUGGAGAAGUUUACUGCAACUUUCGAGUCACUAAAAACGUGAGAGAGAAUUUUUGAUGUGCAAGAACUUGAGUUGUAUGAAUGAUGGUGCUUGACACAGUGAAAUGCAAAUGCAGCUUCUGCUGCAGCUGCUUUAUUACCAUCUGUCUGUGUUUUGAAAAAGCUGGUGAGCUUUUUGGAAGAUGAUGAUCCCACCACCGUCUUACGCUUUUUCGAUUGCACGUGGUCAUUAAUAUCAUGUCUGCCUCCAUUACUGAUUGAAAUGUAGGAACUGUGAACAGGAGAAACGUAUAAUAGAAUAAUUUUUCUAGGAAAACAAUGAUUUCAAUGGGCCUGUGUAUAAUCAUAAUGUUACUCGCCCGCAAAUUUGGCACAAAGUUUCGUAUUCAGUUCUUCCUCGCUUUAUACUUGGAAACUGUUCAGUAUAUUCCUCCCUGUACUUAACCUUCCAUCUAGCCGACAUUAUUAAACCACCAGGCAAAUAACUACUAUUUAAUGCGAUAUAACAACGAAAUCGCAAGCACAACAAACCAUGCGAACAUUCAACAAGCUAAUCAAAGAGGAUAAUACUCUUCAUUGCCAGAGAUGACUGACCGCCCACUGUAUCGACAACUCGCAAUCUCGCAAAUCGAAGAGGAUGUAUCGUACGCCUGAGCCUGGCUGCCCAUUGUUUCCAUAUCUCAAAAGCUGUUCUGUUCUGUUUGGAUUUUAUAUAAUGUGAAGGCAAAGAGAUAACACAUUGAUGCUUUUUUGACAGCAAUUUUUGAAAUUACCGAAGUUGACUUCAAAUCCAACAAAUAUCGCAGACAUUUGCCUUUUCGGCCCGGACAUUUUCAUUUACCCUAAAAUUGCGGACUGUCCGUGAAAUCCGUGGCGUAUGGCAACCCUAUAUUUAUACCUUUUUUAGUUCUUUUUCAUUUAAAAUGAUCAUUGUGUAAAGUAAUUGUGAAGAUCAUUGAUGGAGGUUUAAAUACUUAAAUAUGUGGGCAAAAUUUAAAAUCCAGUUGUUUUUAGUCCCGUUAAGGUAACUUUUACGCAUCUAUUUUUGAAACAGUCAAUUUAACUUUGUAAAUAUGUAUGAAAGUUUUAAUAAAACUCAUCUUUAUUAAAU